This 319-nucleotide ribosomal RNA is filed under the name uncultured bacterium. RNAcentral's name for it is "bacterial SSU rRNA". It matches the Rfam family "Bacterial small subunit ribosomal RNA", at positions 338 to 649 of the family's 1533-position model. The record is from RNAcentral.
CCUACGGGUCGCACCAGUGGGGAAUAUUGCACAAUGGGCGCAAGCCUGAUGCAGCCAUGCCGCGUGUAUGAAGAAGGCCUUCGGGUUGUAAAGUACUUUCAGCGGGGAGGAAGGUGUUGUGGUUAAUAACCGCAGCAAUUGACGUUACCCGCAGAAGAAGCACCGGCUAACUCCGUGCCAGCAGCCGCGGUAAUACGGAGGGUGCAAGCGUUAAUCGGAAUUACUGGGCGUAAAGCGCACGCAGGCGGUUUGUUAAGUCAGAUGUGAAAUCCCCGGGCUCAACCUGGGAACUGCAUCUGAUACUGGCAAGCUUGAGUCU